This 233-nucleotide ribosomal RNA is filed under the name uncultured bacterium. Its description in RNAcentral is "partial 16S ribosomal RNA". It matches the Rfam family "Bacterial small subunit ribosomal RNA", at positions 100 to 334 of the family's 1533-position model. The record is from RNAcentral.
CGGGACGGGUGAGUAAUGUCUGGGAAACUGCCUGAUGGAGGGGGAUAACUGCUGGAAACGGUAGCUAAUACCGCAUAACGUCGCAAGACCAAAGAGGGGGACCUUCGGGCCUCUUGCCAUCGGAUGUGCCCAGAUGGGAUUAGCUAGUAGGUGGGGUAACGGCUCACCUAGGCGACGAUCCCUAGCUGGUCUGAGAGGGUGACCAGCCACACUGGAACUGAGACACGGUCCAG